This 122-nucleotide ribosomal RNA is filed under the name Pezizomycotina sp. Its description in RNAcentral is "partial small subunit ribosomal RNA". It matches the Rfam family "Eukaryotic small subunit ribosomal RNA", at positions 1657 to 1779 of the family's 1831-position model. The record is from RNAcentral. Lineage: Eukaryota; Fungi; Ascomycota.
CCUUUGUACACACCGCCCGUCGCUACUACCGAUUGAAUGGCUCAGUGAGGCCUUGGGACUGGCUCAGAGAGGUCGGCAACGACCCAGAGCCGGAAAGUUGGUCAAACUCGGUCAUUUAGAGG